UACAGAGGGUGCGAGCGUUGUUCGGAAUUACUGGGCGUAAAGCGCGCGUAGGCUGCGACUCAAGUCAGGGGUGAAAUCCCAGGGCUCAACCCUGGAAUUGCCUUUGAAACUAAGUCGCUAGAAUAUCGGAGGGGAUAGCGGAAUUCCUAAUGUAGCAGUGAAAUGCGUAGAUAUUAGGAGGAACACCGGUGGCGAAGGCGGCUAUCUGGACGAUUAUUGACGCUGAGGCGCGAAAGCGUGGGGAUCAAACAGG
RNAcentral lists this ribosomal RNA (253 nucleotides) under uncultured bacterium. RNAcentral's name for it is "partial 16S ribosomal RNA". It matches the Rfam family "Bacterial small subunit ribosomal RNA", at positions 524 to 776 of the family's 1533-position model. The record is from RNAcentral.